RNA transcript from Xenopus laevis (African clawed frog), 2810 nucleotides. RefSeq lists it as uncharacterized. The record is from RefSeq and is a predicted model, not a curated record. The transcript is spliced from 5 exons. NCBI's taxonomy places the organism in Eukaryota, Metazoa, Chordata, Amphibia, Anura, Pipidae.
AUCUUACAUUGCUCACAUGACAAUGGCAGAGAAGGCGCCCAUCCCGGAUGCUAAAGCAUACAAAGUUCACAAGAAACUAGUAAUACAGGAAUGUGACCUAACGAGUCUGGUGCAGAAGCAGAGAAAUUAUUUUGCAAUGUGAAAGUAAAGGUGUCACAGCGCAUGGGAUUUGCUAAGGAUAAUACCCCCUUGCAACUCAAACUAUUGCUCCCAGCUACCAGGAUCAUCUGAUGAACAAAUCCAGUUUGGCACUUGUUCCAGGAAAGGAGAAUGCCUAGAGAGCACAUAAAGAAACCAUUGCUUGGAAUCUUCUCCCGAGAUGAUCGGUCCAGCUAUGAGUGGCUGAUCAACUGCCUUUUGAAAUAUUCUGCAGUCCCAGACAUCAGACCGGUGUACAUUGGCAAUAACAGUGAUGAGAACUUCCAUGAAGCAGUCCGCAAAUGCACCUUUGCCAUUCUGUAUCACACAAGGGACAGAGGGAGGAUAAACAUCACCGAUGUGAUCGACUCAAUGUACGAUGUUCAACUUGAUUCUCUGUGCACCAUCCUUGAAAAUCCAAAAAGAUUGAGAGUGUAGAAGCACCAGCAGAUUUGCAAAGCUGGACUCCAGCACUAUGGAACAGCAACACCAUGUUCCUCCAUAACCAAAGUCAUUUAUAUAAGAAGACCGAGACCCUGAAUAGCUGCACCUCAUGUAGAAUUUGCUUGAAGCUGCUCCCAUUAGUUGUUCUAAACAAAUAUAUAGCACUAGAAGAACAGGUUUUCUGCGCACAGCUAUGAAGAUGAAUUGUGGCGUGCCAAGAAUUGUCUGUAACUUGUGCCAAAACAAUGCACUCCUUCCAUAAAUGUGCACUGGUAAUGACUUCCUUAGAAAGCCUGUAUAGAAACAGGUUGCAACACGGAGGGCUCUCCAAUCUCCUCGCUAUACAUGUCUAGUAUAAAUUGUUGUAUUCUGCUUCAUCUGAAUGAUUGUCCUUGUGUGCAGGGAAAGAGAAUGUAAUUGUUGUCAUUGAUGACCUGAACGACAGCAGUUCUGCAGAGAAGUACCGCAUACUGGAGCAGCAGCCAAGUAUAGGCAAUUUGGCAAGGGACUUGUUCCUAUUCAGUACCAUAGAGAAAGAAAGGAUCCCUCUAGGUAAUGCGCAGAAGAAUGUGAUUCCUGACCCCAAAGUGGCACAUCUUGUCAAAAUAAUAAAAGAUCAUCAUCAAACCAGGAAGGAUUGCAGUGUAAAUGGCCCUUGCAAAAUUGGACUGAUAAUUGUUGUCAUUAUUUUUGUGUUUUUCAUUAUUGGAAUAAUAAUAUACGCUGCUGAGGAACAUCUGAUAUAAUGAAGCUGAAGGACACACAAAAUGAUUAUGGACUAGGGAUAGCUUGAGAAGGUGGUGUAAGCCUUUGCAAACAUCACAUAUUUGGGAUAUAAUAUAUGUAAUUUUUCAGGAUGCAGUUUUUAAUGUAGGAUAUAAUGUAAAAUAACUCAUGCUGCCCCUUCCUGUUAAAAGUUAGUUUGGCCUUGCAUCAAGCUGGCGGUUACAUCAAGCUGGCGGUUACAUCAAGCUGGCGGUUACAUCAAGCUGGCGGUUACAUCAAGCUGGCGGUUACAUCAAGCUGGCAGUUGCACAGACACAAGCCUUGGAAUAAACACCUGAACUAAGUUACUAGUUGGAAGGGACACUAUAAAAACAUGAAUGAAACAUGUGUGCCAUUAACCAGCGUGGAUGUACAUUUCUCAGUUUCAAGUCCAAAACCAAACUGGGAUUCUGGAAAUGACUCUCCAUUGUAAGUAAAUAAAACACGGAUUGCAGGCAAAUUUCUGACUCUUAGGGAUCAUUUACUAAACUAUGAAUUUAUCUGAACUGGCUUUUUGGGGAAAAAAAACAAUUUUUUUUUUAGAUUUAUUAUAAGCCAAUGCUGCAAAAAGCCGAAUCCGAAAAUUGGCCAUCUCAGACCUGUUGAGGUCAUGUAUAAGUCAAUGGGAGAGGCACCUAUCCCAAUUGGAAGUUAUCGAAGUUUGCGUUGGGUUCAGCCCCGUAAUCCUAUAAAUUCAGGGUUUUUAGGCAAAAACCCAUAAAAAAUCAAGCGAUUCGGGAAAAAAGUCAGAAAAAAACAUACGAUUCUGGUUUUCGCUCAAUUUUAUCUGGCUUUUCCUGAUCUGAUUUAUUCAAGUUAUUUUAUUAAUACAUAAGGCAAAAUCGGGCAUGGGAGUUUGGUCUAGCUUUUUUAUUUUAGUAAAUAUUUGGAUUUUAGUAAAUAACCUCCUUACUUUCUUAAUGACUGAAAGAAGAGAUUCAGCCUGGAGAUUGCAUUCAAUGAGGACUAGAGAGAGAGAGAGAGAGAGAGAGAGAGAGAGAGAGAGAGAGAGAGAGAGAGAGAGUCCUGAGAUUUAUAGAGUAAGAUGUGGCUGUGUGAUGAAGGACAAUGAGUUGAUGCCGAAAGAUAACACAAUGGAGAUGUAGACAGUAAGUAAAAUUAAGGUUAGAUGUGGAUGCUGGAAUCACAGCUAUGUAAACUAAGAAACCCACAGGACACCUAUCAAAUAUAGCACUAAAGAUACUGCAACAGGUUCAAUAAGUUCUGAUUUCAGACCCUCCCAGAACUGGCACCAGAAGUCCCCAACCAACAUGGAUGGAUCAUAGUCAUGCAAAGCUAUCGCCACACAGAGCACCGGUCGGCUGUGCCAUAUACAUCCUGGUUGUUGGCCGCUUUAUGGAUUACCCAAUAAUGUCAAAUGUUACCUAUACCCCAGGGAUAUUGUAAUAAUACUGUAAAUACUCGACUUCAUGUUCAAUAAUAAAGAACCAGUAACACAAAAA